UACGAAGGGUGCAAGCGUUAAUCGGAAUUACUGGGCGUAAAGCGUGCGCAGGCGGCCGAGUGUGUUAGAUGUGAAAUCCCGGGGCUCAACCCCGGAACUGCGUCUAAAACUACUUGGCUAGAGUAUUGGAGAGGGUAGCGGAAUUCACGGUGUAGCAGUGAAAUGCGUAGAUAUCGUGAGGAACACCAGAGGCGAAGGCGGCUACCUGGACAAUUACUGACGCUCAGGCACGAAAGCGUGGGGAGCAAAAGGGAUUAGAAACCCCAGUAGU
This 271-nucleotide ribosomal RNA is filed under the name uncultured bacterium. RNAcentral's name for it is "partial 16S ribosomal RNA". It matches the Rfam family "Bacterial small subunit ribosomal RNA", at positions 524 to 794 of the family's 1533-position model. The record is from RNAcentral.